UACGUAGGGUGCGAGCGUUGUCCGGAAUUACUGGGCGUAAAGAGCUCGUAGGUGGUUUGUCGCGUUGUCCGUGAAAACUCACAACUCAAUUGUGGGCGUGCGGGCGAUACGGGCAGACUGGAGUACUGCAGGGGAGACUGGAAUUCCUGGUGUAGCGGUGAAAUGCGCAGAUAUCAGGAGGAACACCGGUGGCGAAGGCGGUUCUCUGGGCAUGUCCUGACGCUGAGGAGCGAAAGUGUGGGGAGCGAACAGG
RNAcentral lists this ribosomal RNA (253 nucleotides) under uncultured bacterium. Its description in RNAcentral is "partial 16S ribosomal RNA". It matches the Rfam family "Bacterial small subunit ribosomal RNA", at positions 524 to 776 of the family's 1533-position model. The record is from RNAcentral.